AUGAACGCUGGCGGCGUGCCUAACACAUGCAAGUCGAACGGGACUGUGGGGGCAACUCUGCAGUCUAGUGGCGGACGGGUGAGUAACACGUGGGUAACCUGCCCGGAAGUGGGGAAUACCUCGGGGAAACUCGAGCUAAUACCGCAUGACAUCUUCGGGACGAAAGUCCUGACGAUCAAAGCGGGGUCGCAAGAUCUCGCGCUACCGGAUGGGCCCGCGCCCGAUUAGCUAGUUGGUGGGGUAACGGCUCACCAAGGCGACGAUCGGUAACCGGCCUGAGAGGGCGAUCGGUCACACCGGAACUGAGACACGGUCCGGACUCCUACGGGAGGCAGCAGUGGGGAAUCUUGCGCAAUGGGCGAAAGCCUGACGCAGCAACGCCGCGUGGAGGAUGAAGGCCCUUGGGUUGUAAACUCCUGUCGGCUGGGAAGAAAUCGUUCGGGGCUAAUACCUCCGGACGUUGACUGUACCAGCAAAGGAAGCCCCGGCUAACUCUGUGCCAGCAGCCGCGGUAAUACAGAGGGGGCCAGCGUUAUUCGGAAUUAUUGGGCGUAAAGGGCGCGUAGGCGGCCAUGCGUGUCUCCCGUGAAAUCCCUCGGCUUAACUGAGGACGUGCGGGAGAAACUGCAAGGCUCGAGUCCGGGAGAGGGGGGUGGAAUUCCCAGUGUAGCGGUGAAAUGCGUAGAUAUUGGGAGGAACACCGGUGGCGAAGGCGGCCCCCUGGACCGGUACUGACGCUGAGGCGCGAAAGCGUGGGUAGCAAACGGGAUUAGAUACCCCGGUAGUCCACGCCGUAAACGAUGGGCACUUGGUGUCGCGGGUAUCGACCCCUGCGGUGCCGAAGCUAACGCAUUAAGUGCCCC
RNAcentral lists this ribosomal RNA (863 nucleotides) under uncultured bacterium. RNAcentral describes it as "bacterial SSU rRNA". It matches the Rfam family "Bacterial small subunit ribosomal RNA", at positions 29 to 870 of the family's 1533-position model. The record is from RNAcentral.